ACAUGCGACAAUUGCCACAGUAGCGACUCAAAGUUGCCAUGGAAAUUGUAGCUAGGAGAGAUUUGGCACGGAGACUCUGAGAAGGCAUGCCGAGUGCGCGGCUGUGCGGAAUGUUGGUCGACGGGGAAGUGCCAAAAAAUCAGGCUGGCUUUUCUCCUGGAAGCCCGCCGCACACCACGUCGAAAGCGUUUAGUAUCAGCUCAUCGUGCGUCAUUAGAUCAUAGGAGGCUUAGCAGGACGCGGUUGGGAGGCGAAGCAACAGAGGCCGCAAGAGAAAUGAAUAUACUCUGUCUGCCAUGUCAGUCGUGGUGUCUGGAGGCGUGACGCUGCAGAUUGGGAAGAAAAUGUAGAACAAAGUGGGGCUUGAUGGUACAUUUCAGAGGCCAUCCACCACCACCAACACCACCACCAACCCCCACCCCACCCCCAAGCGGUAUGUCAAUAGGGAGUUGUGCUGCCCAGGCGCCUUGAGCAUCCUUCACUGUCUGCAUCACAGGCUCAUCACCAUGGCAAUCCGGCCCACUCGGGCCCUAAUUGAAGCAUUUCGUUGAAGACGUCUAAUCGUUUUGCGGGAACGAUCGAGUUGGAAAAACAAUGGUGCGGAAACGUUAAGGCAUAAACCCUCCUGACUCCGUCAUGUUUUUUCGAUCGAGCUACGGAUGUGCUCUCGUGACGCUUUGUUUGUUGCUAAGGAUGUUGUGUUGAGUUGAUCUGGGGGCGGUUAUUAGUGAGGAGUGGCCCUCUCUUCUGUCCCAGAGUCUCGACCAGCUCUUUGAGAGCUGCGCAAGACUUCCUGCUGGCUUGAAAGGCUCGAAAUAAUCUGUUUUUGCCAUGGAAACAGUUC
Molecule: long non-coding RNA, 844 nt
Organism: Silurus meridionalis
Lineage: Eukaryota; Metazoa; Chordata; Actinopteri; Siluriformes; Siluridae
Exons: 3
Source: RefSeq, a predicted model, not a curated record